RNAcentral lists this ribosomal RNA (368 nucleotides) under uncultured organism. Its description in RNAcentral is "bacterial SSU rRNA". It matches the Rfam family "Bacterial small subunit ribosomal RNA", at positions 526 to 896 of the family's 1533-position model. The record is from RNAcentral.
CGAAGGACCCGAGCGUUAUCCGGAUUUAUUGGGUUUAAAGGGUGCGUAGGCGUCCUGGAAAGUUACGGUUGAAAUCUCCUUGCUCAACAAGGAAACUGGCCGUAAAACUAUCAGGAUUGAGUACAUUUGAAGCGGGCGGAAUGUGUCAUGUAGCGGUGAAAUGCUUAGAGAUGACACAGAACACCAAUUGCGAAGGCAGCUCGCUAAACUGUAACUGACGCUGAGGCACGAAAGCGUGGGGAUCAAACAGGAUUAGAUACCCUGGUAGUCCACGCCCUAAACGAUGAUUACUCGAUGUGUGCGAUACACUGUACGCGUCUGAGCGAAAGCAUUAAGUAAUCCACCUGGGGAGUAUGAUCGCAAGAUUG